GAAGUAAAAUUGUUGCACAUAUAUUGGAACCCCGGACUCGAUUCGAGGUGAAUGAAACAUCACUGGUAAAAAAGCGUCAGCUUAUCUUGUGAGUCAACAGGCCGCAUUGGUGAAAACGAGACCGGGUGUUCGAUUUGUUGUCUGUAAACAGAAGGGUAUGGCUUUAAUUCCAAAUGGACGCUUGCUUAUCGAAUCUUUAUAAUCUGAAAGAAAGAGUAGCUGGCAGCCUAGCACAAGUCUUACUUUUAGACAUAUUUUAUAUUUAUCUACGUACUUAACUUAAUUUGUGACCCAUAUUGUAAUUUUAGCAUUCUUUACUGUAAAAAUGGAUGACUGUAAUCUUUUCACUAUUCUACAAUUAUGCGAUAGCGCAUUUCCUACUGGUGGUUUUUCUCAUAGUAUGGGGACUGAAGCAGCCAUUCAAAAUUUAUACAUAAAUGACUUUGAAAGUUUGAAGAUGUUUAUUCUAAGUUGUCUUGCAAAUUCAGGAUCUUCCUGUAUUCCAUUUGUCAGAUCUGCUUCUGAAAAUGCAAAUAAUUUAGAAAAACUAAUAAAUCUAGAUUCCUUGCAUAAUGCUACACUUUUAAAUCAUGUUUCUCAUAGGGCCAGCAAACAACAGGGAAAAUCCUUUCUUGCCACUUCCUCCGAAGUUUUUCUGCUAUCAGAAAUAGAACAACUCAAAGAGCUUGCUGAUAAUGGUAAAAUUCACUGCCACCUUCCUAUUGUUUUUGGAGUUGUUUGCUCAGCAUUGAAAAUUCCUACUAGAAAGACUGGAGAAAUGUACCUAUUCAACUGCUUAAGAACCAUACUUGCUAGUACUGUUCGACUAGGAAAAAUCGGUUCUAUUCAGGCACAACGUUUGCAGUUUGAAUUGCAGAAUACUUUGGACGAUAUACUUGCAACUUCAACUUUUUCAGCUGUGUACUGUAGCGAUCGUUCUAAUUGUCUCGGAGAAAGCGCGCCAAAGUUUGAUGUGCGUUUCAUCUCCAUUAAUCAUAAAAUGGCAUUGAACUGUGACCUCCGAAAAACAAGGCCUGCUGGCUCUACAACUCGCUUCUGCAUGAGUCAUCACUGCUAGUCGAUCGAGAAACCGGUUAACAAUCGUCACUCUGCACGUUUUCUGCGCGAAGUAAACGACGGCUGGCGUUUAUAAGCCUUCUUCUUUUCUUUCUUUUUCUAUUUAUUUCUUGAUCCAAGAUAGUGUUAUAUCGAAAUGGAUGAGAUGCAGAAGCAAGUUUAGGAUACAAAUUAUUGAAGGUAUGUGAAAGACAUUUUAAAGAUGGCAAAGUGCUUUACAGAACUACUUUCUACAAUGAAAGUACUGGGGAAACAUUAUCAGCUCCUCUGAAGAAGCCCAGGGUGAAAGAAAAUGCUUUGCCAAGUGUUUUUCCUGUCUGCCCUACAUAUUUAUCAUCAUCAACAUCCUCAAUUCGAGAGAGUCCUUCAAAAAAGAGGCAACGAUUAGAACAAGUCCAAAUUGAACACUCCAUCAUUGAAAGCUUAAUUUCCAAACAGAACUAUGACAGCAAGACUGCAUGUACUAAUUUUAGUGAAUUAAAAAAAUGUAUUAAAGACCAUACCUUUUAUUUCUUUUGGACUAUUAUUGAAAAGAGUGUAAAUAUGUUAUUGAUCCAUUAUAUUCAUCCAUUCAUUAUAUCUGUUAAUGAUGGCAUUCCUACCAUAACAUAUGCUGUAAGUAUUAACAAUGAUCUAUUUUUAAAUGCAUCAUUUAUGGGAGAAAGGAUUUUGAAACACUGGCAAUUCCCAUUACCAAUUAAAGUUAAUAAUAUAAAUCAAAUAUUUGAUAUUCUUGAUUAUUAUGAAAAGGAUCCCUGCGAUAUAUUAUCAAGUUCAUUGAAUGUCAAAAUUAAUAUUGUUACGAAAUUUCCGGGUUCGUUUGGAUAGUGAAAGUUAUAUGGUGUGGAGAAUGCUCAAUCAGCAGGCGGCAGUAGAAAAAGAAACAACGACGUUUAUUUACACGAAGACACACAGGACAGCACAAAGACGACAACUAUAUACAGCAUAGAAGACGAUUAUCUUCAGCCGAGACGUGCAGCAUACAACAAGACUCUACUGCAGACAGUAGCAUACAGCUUAGUUCAGCACUAGCUUGACUCCGUCGCUGCUCUGCUAAUCUCUGGAAGACUCGUUCUUCCCUUCGAUUCCGACUACUCUACUCUGUCGCUUCCGACUACUCUGCUCUGGCAGCUGCGGCUGUCUCCUUUUAUAGGUCUCAGGAGGCGGGGCUAGAAGUCUCUCAACCAAUCAGGAACGUUCGAGGCGUAUCUCGGUUCCUAAUGAACGGACCGGGAAAAUUCUCGAUGUUUCGGGUAUAAUCUAUUUUGACGCCAAAGUCGUCGCCAAGUUUGGCGCCAAGCUCAUGGACCUCCGACGCAACACCCGGACUCCGUCUAAUACAGAUGACUGUAAAACUGUCUUUCUGAUGAUGGAACCAACUAUGCUGUGAAGCCGCAUCACAGAUUCGUAACAAUAUUAUUGAAUCUAUCAUCAAAAAUUCAGAAGAUGUAUUUACUGGCAAAUGUAAAUUUUUCUUUGAAUUUUUUCUUGAGCAAUUCAUUUGCUGAAGUGUAAACCUGAACACCUUUUAUAUAUAGUACCUUUAAUGAACCUUUUUUAUA
RNA transcript from Argiope bruennichi, 2639 nucleotides. RefSeq lists it as uncharacterized. The record is from RefSeq and is a predicted model, not a curated record. The transcript has 9 exons. NCBI's taxonomy places the organism in Eukaryota, Metazoa, Arthropoda, Arachnida, Araneae, Araneidae.